AACGAACGCUGGCGGCAGGCCUAACACAUGCAAGUCGAGCGAGAUCUUCGGAUCUAGCGGCGGACGGGUGAGUAACGCGUGGGAAUAUGCCCAUCUCUACGGAAUAGCCUCGGGAAACUGGGAGUAAUACCGUAUACGCCCUUAGGGGGAAAGAUUUAUCGGAGAAGGAUUAGCCCGCGUUGGAUUAGGUAGUUGGUGGGGUAAUGGCCUACCAAGCCGACGAUCCAUAGCUGGUUUGAGAGGAUGAUCAGCCACACUGGGACUGAGACACGGCCCAGACUCCUACGGGAGGCAGCAGUGGGGAAUCUUAGACAAUGGGGGCAACCCUGAUCUAGCCAUGCCGCGUGAGUGAUGAAGGCCUUAGGGUUGUAAAGCUCUUUCAGCUGGGAAGAUAAUGACGGUACCAGCAGAAGAAGCCCCGGCUAACUCCGUGCCAGCAGCCGCGGUAA
RNAcentral lists this ribosomal RNA (449 nucleotides) under uncultured bacterium. Its description in RNAcentral is "partial 16S ribosomal RNA". It matches the Rfam family "Bacterial small subunit ribosomal RNA", at positions 29 to 523 of the family's 1533-position model. The record is from RNAcentral.